GUGCAGAUGAUGUGAAUGAUUUUUUUUCCACUGAGUAAACUGAUGCUUCCAAAGGAACCACUGAUGCAC
This 69-nucleotide small nucleolar RNA is filed under the name Callipepla squamata (scaled quail). Its description in RNAcentral is "Small nucleolar RNA SNORD42". It matches the Rfam family "Small nucleolar RNA SNORD42". From Rfam's summary of the family: snoRNA U42 is found in intron 3 of the ribosomal protein L23a (RPL23a) gene in humans and is also present in mice. U42 is a member of the C/D class of snoRNA which contain C (UGAUGA) and D (CUGA) box motifs. Lineage: Eukaryota; Metazoa; Chordata; Aves; Galliformes; Odontophoridae. The record is from Rfam by way of RNAcentral.